Molecule: unclassified non-coding RNA, 347 nt
Filed under: soil metagenome
Description: partial contains 5.8S ribosomal RNA, internal transcribed spacer 2, and large subunit ribosomal RNA
Rfam family: 5.8S ribosomal RNA (bases 1-120)
Source: RNAcentral
GAUGAAGAACGCAGCGAAAUGCGAUAAGUAAUGUGAAUUGCAGAAUUCAGUGAAUCAUCGAGUCUUUGAACGCACAUUGCGCCCCCUGGUAUUCCGGGGGGCAUGCCUGUCCGAGCGUCAUUGCCGCCCUCAAGCACGGCUUGUGUGUUGGGCCCCCGCCCCCCGGCUUCGGGGGGCGGGCCCGAAAGGCAGCGGCGGCACCGCGUCCGGUCCUCGAGCGUAUGGGGCUUCGUCACCCGCUCUGUAGGCCCGGCCGGCGCCCGCCGGCGACCCCAAUCAAUCUUUCCAGGUUGACCUCGGAUCAGGUAGGGAUACCCGCUGAACUUAAGCAUAUCAAUAACGGAGGA